Molecule: ribosomal RNA, 465 nt
Filed under: uncultured bacterium
Lineage: Bacteria
Description: partial 16S ribosomal RNA
Rfam family: Bacterial small subunit ribosomal RNA
Source: RNAcentral
GACGAACGCUGGCGGUGUGCUUAACACAUGCAAGUCGAACGGUAAGGCCCUUUCGGGGGUACACGAGUGGCGAACGGGUGAGUAACACGUGAGUAACCUGCCCUCAUCUCUGGGAUAACAGUCGGAAACGGUUGCUAAUACUGGAUAUGAGCUUGCAAGGCACCUUGUGGGUUGGAAAGAUUUUUUUGGUUGGGGAUGGACUCGCGGCCUAUCAGCUUGUUGGUGAGGUAGUGGCUCACCAAGGCUUCGACGGGUAGCCGGCCUGAGAGGGCGACCGGCCACAUUGGGACUGAGAUACGGCCCAAACUCCUACGGGAGGCAGCAGUGGGGAAUAUUGCACAAUGGACGGAAGUCUGAUGCAGCAACGCCGCGUGCGGGAUGACGGCCUUCGGGUUGUAAACCGCUUUCAAUUGUGACGAAGCUUUUUGUGACGGUAGCAGUAGAAGAAGCACCGGCUAACUACGU